CUGGUCAUUACAAGAAUUACAAUUUUUCAUUAGUGUGCAAGACCAAGAGAUUGAAUUGCUUCCCAGUUCUUAUAGAUAUUGUUAGUAAUGGGCUACUUAGAAUGGCUAAAUCAUCAGCACAUAUCCAAACUGGAAGAACAUCUUUCAAGGUA
Pipistrellus kuhlii (Kuhl's pipistrelle) is the source of this 152-nucleotide long non-coding RNA. RefSeq lists it as uncharacterized. Lineage: Eukaryota; Metazoa; Chordata; Mammalia; Chiroptera; Vespertilionidae. The transcript is spliced from 3 exons. The record is from RefSeq and is a predicted model, not a curated record.